Molecule: ribosomal RNA, 234 nt
Filed under: Triticum aestivum (bread wheat)
Lineage: Eukaryota; Viridiplantae; Streptophyta; Magnoliopsida; Poales; Poaceae
Description: partial small subunit ribosomal RNA
Source: RNAcentral
AUGCCACAAGUUAACUGGAUGAAUCAUUCAAUUGUAUAUUACAUGCCUGAGCAUUGUAUGAAUUCUAUUAUCUAUAGAUGGCUGGAAUUCUAUACACCGAAAUGUAACGUCAGUGUUACAAUGACUCAGUUCAGUCUCAUAUUGGCGCUAUUCCUCUUUCAAAAAAAAUAUUGGCGCUAUUCACCUGAACGGCGGAACCAAUGUGUUGUGGGCUGUACGUUUACUGUUUCCUAG